Molecule: ribosomal RNA, 207 nt
Filed under: uncultured bacterium
Lineage: Bacteria
Description: partial 16S ribosomal RNA
Rfam family: Bacterial small subunit ribosomal RNA
Source: RNAcentral
UGCGUAGGCGGUAUCGUAUGUCGGGUGUGAAAUCCCACGGCCCAACCGUGGAACUGCAUCCGAAACUACGGAACUAGAGUGCAGGAGGGGAGAGUGGAAUUCUUGGUGUAGCGGUGAAAUGCGUUGAUAUCAAGAAGAACACCGGUGGCGAAGGCGGCUCUCUGGAAUGUUACUGACGCUGAGGCACGAAAGCUGGGGGAGCGAACA